AACGAACGCUGGCGGCAGACCUAAUACAUGCAAGUCGAACGGAUGUAGCAAUACAUUAGUGGCGCACGGGUGCCUAACGCGUGGGAACAUACCCUUGAGUAAGGAAUAAUGUCUGGAAACGGACACUAAUACCUUAUAAUGACUUCGGUCCAAAGAUUCAUCGCUCAAGGAUUGGCCCGCGUCUGAUUAGCUAGUUGGUGAGGUAACGGCUCACCAAGGCGACGAUCAGUAGCUGGUCUGAGAGGAUGAUCAGCCACACUGGGACUGAGACACGGCCCAGACUCCUACGGGAGGCAGCAGUAAGGAAUAUUGGACAAUGGGGGAAACCCUGAUCCAGCCAUGCCGCGUGAGUGAAGAAGGCCUUAGGGUUGUAAAGCUCUUUCAAUAGUGAAGAUAAUGACGGUAGCUAUAGAAGAAGCCCCGGCUAAAUUCGUGCCAGCCGCCGCCGUAA
RNAcentral lists this ribosomal RNA (451 nucleotides) under uncultured bacterium. Its description in RNAcentral is "partial 16S ribosomal RNA". It matches the Rfam family "Bacterial small subunit ribosomal RNA", at positions 29 to 523 of the family's 1533-position model. The record is from RNAcentral.